UGGUGAUGCUCUGUGUUGGG
RNAcentral lists this unclassified non-coding RNA (20 nucleotides) under Chlamydomonas reinhardtii. RNAcentral's name for it is "small RNA Cre_3450". The record is from RNAcentral. Lineage: Eukaryota; Viridiplantae; Chlorophyta; Chlorophyceae; Chlamydomonadales; Chlamydomonadaceae.